RNAcentral lists this ribosomal RNA (803 nucleotides) under Methanococcoides sp. enrichment culture clone 4.17a Arc Band 2. Its description in RNAcentral is "bacterial SSU rRNA". It matches the Rfam family "Archaeal small subunit ribosomal RNA", at positions 100 to 904 of the family's 1478-position model. Lineage: Archaea; Methanobacteriati; Methanobacteriota; Methanomicrobia; Methanosarcinales; Methanosarcinaceae. The record is from RNAcentral.
GUGAUACCUGCCCUUAGGUUUGGCAUAACUCCGGGAAACUGGAGAUAAUUCCGAAUAAACCAUUCAUGCUGGAAUGCUUUUUGGUUCAAAGACUUCGGUUGCCUAAGGAUGGAUCUGCGGUCUAUCAGGUGGUAGUGGGUGUAAUGUACCUACUAGCCUACGACGGAUAUGGGUUGUGAGAGCAAGAGCCCAGAGAUGGAUUCUGAGACAUGAAUCCAGGCCCUACGGGGCGCAGCAGGCGCGAAAACUUUACAAUGCGGGAAACCGCGAUAAGGGGAUACCGAGUGCCAGCAUAUUAUGUUGGCUGUCCACAUGUGUAAACGGCAUGUGUUAGCAAGGGCCGGGCAAGACCGGUGCCAGCCGCCGCGGUAACACCGGCGGCCCGAGUGGUAAUCACUUUUAUUGGGUCUAAAGGGUCCGUAGCCGGUUUGAUCAGUUCUUCGGGAAAUCUGACAGCUCAACUGUUAGGCUUCCGGGGAAUACUGUCAGACUUGGGACCGGGAGAGGUAAGAGGUACUACAGGGGUAGGAGUGAAAUCUUGUAAUCCCUGUGGGACCACCAGUGGCGAAGGCGUCUUACCAGAACGGGUCCGACGGUGAGGGACGAAAGCUGGGGGCACGAACCGGAUUAGAUACCCGGGUAGUCCCAGCCGUAAACGAUGUUCGCUAGGUGUCAGGGACGGUGCGACCGUUUCUGGUGCCGUAGGGAAGCCGUGAAGCGAACCACCUGGGAAGUACGGCCGCAAGGCUGAAACUUAAAGGAAUUGGCGGGGGAGCACUACAACGGGUGGAGCCUGCGGUUUA